Molecule: long non-coding RNA, 194 nt
Organism: Zophobas morio
Lineage: Eukaryota; Metazoa; Arthropoda; Insecta; Coleoptera; Tenebrionidae
Exons: 3
Source: RefSeq, a predicted model, not a curated record
CGGAGCUUUUAUUUGCUGGGUUGUACAAUGGAUGGCUGUGAUGAAUUAUUUGAAAAGACACAAUACUUUCGGCCAAAUUGUCUUAAAAUUGAAAAUGAUGCUUUUUCUCAAAAAGGCUUAGUGGAUAGCGAUGUUCAUAGUUCUAGAGAACAUUUGUCUAAACUUAAAUUUAAUUUUAUUGAACAUCAAACGAA